GGCCCCAUCGUCUAGCGGCUUAGGACAGCUGGUUUUCAGCCAGCUAACACCGGUUCGAAUCCGGUUGGGGUCACCA
This 76-nucleotide transfer RNA is filed under the name Candidatus Levybacteria bacterium RIFCSPLOWO2_01_FULL_38_21. RNAcentral's name for it is "tRNA-Glu". It matches the Rfam family "tRNA". Rfam says of the family: Transfer RNA (tRNA) molecules are approximately 80 nucleotides in length. Their secondary structure includes four short double-helical elements and three loops (D, anti-codon, and T loops). Lineage: Bacteria; Candidatus Levyibacteriota. The record is from RNAcentral.